RNAcentral lists this long non-coding RNA (496 nucleotides) under Homo sapiens (human). RNAcentral describes it as "HSALNT0329306". Lineage: Eukaryota; Metazoa; Chordata; Mammalia; Primates; Hominidae. The record is from RNAcentral.
GGCGGUAUCUUCAUGUGGAUGUGCGUGACAUUUGGUGCUGAAAACCUGGGACAGGAGGACUCCUUUGGGAGACCAGCCCCCUGUCCUCGCCCUCACUCCAUGAGGAGAUCCACCUACGACCUUGGGUCCUCAGACCAGCCAGCCCAAGGAACAUCUCACCAAUUUCAAAUCGGAUCUCCUUGGCUCAACAGCUGAAGACUGACGCUGCCCAAUCGCUUUGGAAGCUCCGGGACUAUCACGGACCCCGAGCUUCGAGUAACUCUUACAGUGGAGGGGUCUUGCUCCGUCACCUAGGCUGGAAUGCAGUGGUGCGAUCUUGGCUCAUUGCAACCUCCACCUCCCGGGUUCAAGUGAUUCUUCUGCCUCAGCCUCCUGAGUUUCGAGGAUUACAGACACUGUUUUUUACAAAUCGAAGAUCUGUGGCAGCCCUGUGUUGAACUAGUCGCCUCCUGAAGCCAUGGGAAAUCACAGUGCUUUGGUAUCUGGAGAGAGGCGA